RNAcentral lists this ribosomal RNA (304 nucleotides) under uncultured bacterium. RNAcentral describes it as "partial 16S ribosomal RNA". It matches the Rfam family "Bacterial small subunit ribosomal RNA", at positions 506 to 807 of the family's 1533-position model. The record is from RNAcentral.
CAGCAGUAGCCACGGUAAUACGAAGGGUGCAAGCGUUAAUCGGAAUUACUGGGCGUAAAGCGUGCGUAGGCGGUGAGUUAAGUCUGCUGUGAAAUCCCCGGGCUCAACCUGGGAAUGGCAGUGGAUACUGGCUCGCUAGAGUGUGUCAGAGGAUGGUGGAAUUCCCGGUGUAGCGGUGAAAUGCGUAGAGAUCGGGAGGAACAUCAGUGGCGAAGGCGGCCAUCUGGGACAACACUGACGCUGAGGCACGAAAGCGUGGGGAGCAAACAGGAUUAGAUACCCCAGUAGUCCCUGUCUCUUAUAC